RNAcentral lists this ribosomal RNA (475 nucleotides) under uncultured bacterium. RNAcentral describes it as "bacterial SSU rRNA". It matches the Rfam family "Bacterial small subunit ribosomal RNA", at positions 8 to 475 of the family's 1533-position model. The record is from RNAcentral.
AGAGUUUGAUCAUGGCUCAGAUUGAACGCUGGCGGCAUGCUUAAUACAUGCAAGUCGAACGGUAACAGAUUCUUCGGAAUGCUGACGAGUGGCGGACGGGUGAGUAAUACAUAGGAAUCUGCCCAUGUAGUGGGGGACAACUUGGGGAAACUCAAGCUAAUACCGCAUAAUUCCUACGGGAUAAAGAGGGCCACUGCUUGCAAGCUCUUGCUACUGGAUGAGCCUAUGUCGGAUUAGUUAGUUGGUAAGGUAAUGGCUUACCAAGACAGCGGUCCGUAGCUGGUUUGAGAGGAUGAUCAGCCACACUGGGACUGAGACACGGCCCAGACUCCUACGGGAGGCAGCAGUAGGGAGUAUUGGACAAUGGGCGCAAGCCUGAUCCAGCAAUGCCGCGUGUGUGAAGAAGGCCUGCGGGUUGUAAAGCACUUUCAAUUGGGAAGAAAGAUUAUGAGUUAAUACCUUAUAAUAUUGACGU